This 200-nucleotide non-coding RNA is filed under the name Oscillospiraceae bacterium. RNAcentral's name for it is "6S RNA". It matches the Rfam family "6S / SsrS RNA". From Rfam's summary of the family: E. coli 6S RNA was the first non coding RNA to be sequenced, but its function was unknown until recently. Lineage: Bacteria; Bacillati; Bacillota; Clostridia; Eubacteriales; Oscillospiraceae. The record is from RNAcentral.
CGUUACCUGCUUGGUACGUGAUGGGUCCACUUAAACCCACAUCAUUUGAUAGGGAUGCCGGACUUUGCCGCCCGAUUGCAGGCCUCCCGCUCCGGCUCGACCGUGAGCGGACGUUGGAAGCAGAGAAAGCCGCAAGAGGCAACCCACCUGCCUUUUCGUGCAGGUUAUAACUGGAUUCACACGGCCAAAGCGGGGUUAGA